ACUCCCGUGACGUGGCUGCCA
This 21-nucleotide unclassified non-coding RNA is filed under the name Mus musculus (house mouse). Its description in RNAcentral is "oocyte_clustered_small_RNA13860". The record is from RNAcentral. Lineage: Eukaryota; Metazoa; Chordata; Mammalia; Rodentia; Muridae.